AAUAAUUUGUAUCAUUUGAUGGCGAAUAUCUACUGGCACCUUGUGGCAUAGUUCUACUAUUUUUAAGAUGUUGUUUGAAGUGAUUGAUCCCACCACCAGUAAAUGCCUUUCCAUAAUACAAGCAUGCCAACAUCAUCCUUUUGGUAUUACCACUAAGUUCUGGAGCUUCUCUACAACGAUUCCAUGCAGGAUCACUUUUACCCUUAACUCCAGAAGAUGAAGUAUUAUUUGUAUCACCC
This 239-nucleotide long non-coding RNA is filed under the name Elaeis guineensis (African oil palm). RNAcentral's name for it is "long non-coding RNA (EGUI_LNC050747)". Lineage: Eukaryota; Viridiplantae; Streptophyta; Magnoliopsida; Arecales; Arecaceae. The record is from RNAcentral.